GCAGGAGAGAAGUCUGAAGAAGUACGAGGAGGGUCGUCAGAGUGAGAUCCUGGGAGCAUAAACACACAUUCGCCCUCACACCUCUCCAGGUUGGAACAGUGUCCCGGUGACUGUAGUCCAACUUUAGCCCGAUUUGACAUUGGGAAAUUCUCAAUAAUUCACUACUUCCCAAAGUACCUGAAAAGACAAUUUACAAAAGAGGAACUUGGCUCAUCGACUGAUACACGGAAAACAGGUAAUGGCGACUAUUAAAAGGCUUUCCAUCCCAUCCAUGCCCUGCUCCACGUCUGUAUCUGGUAAACAUCCUACAGGAGCGCCCCAAGCCCUCCUAAGAGAAGUCUGGGCUGACCCUAGGCCGGGUAGGCCCCUCCCCUGCCUUUUCCCUUAAGUUCCCGCUCCCCCCACCCUCUUCCUUUUGUCAAGCCACUUUCCUUCUCCGAGGGUCCUUAUGGGAGGAUCCUUAUCGCCUUCCCCCCAUUGCCCUGGGAGUUCUCUGAGAGCCCAGACCACUCCGUAAAGAUCUUUCUUAACCUUGGAAACACUCCUGGAGGAAUUAAUGUAAAAUCAGGAAGCAAGAAUCCUGUAAGCUGAGAUGGCGUUUACCUGUGCUGUUUUGCCUUUCAACAGAGUGGGGACCAAACAUUAUUGCAGAUAUGUAUAUCCUCUUCUGGGGCAAUGCUGUGUGUAGAGCCCCCUGGAAAAGUGAGGAGGAAGGAGACUAGGACGGUUCUGCCUGGAGGCCUUUACUCUGGAUAUUCCCUCUAGGGAAGCCUGAGUGUCUCAGUCAAUUCAGCGUCUGACUCUUGAUUUCAGCACAGGUCAUGA
Molecule: long non-coding RNA, 825 nt
Organism: Lutra lutra (Eurasian river otter)
Lineage: Eukaryota; Metazoa; Chordata; Mammalia; Carnivora; Mustelidae
Exons: 4
Source: RefSeq, a predicted model, not a curated record